RNAcentral lists this ribosomal RNA (460 nucleotides) under uncultured bacterium. Its description in RNAcentral is "partial 16S ribosomal RNA". It matches the Rfam family "Bacterial small subunit ribosomal RNA", at positions 338 to 795 of the family's 1533-position model. The record is from RNAcentral.
CCUACGGGAGGCAGCAGUGAGGAAUAUUGGUCAAUGGACGCAAGUCUGAACCAGCCUUGCCGCGUGCAGGACGACGGCUCUAUGAGUUGUAAACUGCUUUUGUACGAGGGUAAACGCAGAUACGCGUAUCUGUCUGAAAGUAUCGUACGAAUAAGUAUCGGCUAACUCCGUUCCAGCAGCCGCGGUAAUCCGGAGGAUUCAAGCGUUAUCCGGAUUUAUUGGGUUUAAAGGGUGCGUAGGCGGUCGGAGAAGUUAGAGGUGAAAUCCCGAGGCUCAACUUCGGAAUUGCCUCUGAUACUGUGCGGCUAGAGAGUAGUUGCGGUAGGCGGAAUGUAUGGUGUAGCGGUGAAAUGCUUAGAGAUCAUACAGAACACCGAUUGCGAAGGCAGCUUACCAAGCUACUUCUGACGUGGAGGCACGAAAGCGUGGGGAGCAAACAGGAUUAGAUACCCUGGUAGUC